This 253-nucleotide ribosomal RNA is filed under the name uncultured bacterium. Its description in RNAcentral is "partial 16S ribosomal RNA". It matches the Rfam family "Bacterial small subunit ribosomal RNA", at positions 524 to 776 of the family's 1533-position model. The record is from RNAcentral.
UACGGAGGGUGCAAGCGCUAUCCGGAUUUACUGGGUUUAAAGGGUGUGUAGGUGGCGCCGUAAGUCGGGUGUGAAAUUUCGGAGCUUAACUCCGAAACUGCAUUCGAUACUGCGGUGCUUGAGGACUGGAGAGGAGACUGGAAUUCAUGGUGUAGCAGUGAAAUGCGUAGAGAUCAUGAGGAAGACCAGUGGCGAAGGCGGGUCUCUGGACAGUUCCUGACACUGAGACACGAAGGCCAGGGGAGCAAACGGG